RNAcentral lists this ribosomal RNA (187 nucleotides) under uncultured bacterium. Its description in RNAcentral is "partial 16S ribosomal RNA". It matches the Rfam family "Bacterial small subunit ribosomal RNA", at positions 340 to 524 of the family's 1533-position model. The record is from RNAcentral.
UACGGGAGGCAGCAGUGAGGAAUAUUGGACAAUGGAGGCAACUCUGAUCCAGCCAUGCCGCGUGCAGGAAGACUGCCCUAUGGGUUGUAAACUGCUUUUAUACAGGAAGAAACACUGCUACGUGUAGCAGCUUGACGGUACUGUAAGAAUAAGGAUCGGCUAACUCCGUGCCAGCAGCCGCGGUAAU